UGUGCGAAGAAUAUGACGGUAACACAUGAAUAAGGAUCGGCUAACUCCGUGCCAGCAGCCGCGGUCAUACGGAGGAUCCAAGCGUUAUCCGGAAUUACUGGGCGUAAAGAGUUGCGUAGGUGGCAAAGUAAGUCGGUAGUGAAAGCGUGGGGCUCAACCCUAUACACAUUAUCGAAACUGCUUAGCUAGAGGACGAGAGAGGUUAUUGGAAUUCCCAGUGUAGGAGUGAAAUCCGUAGAUAUUGG
Molecule: ribosomal RNA, 245 nt
Filed under: uncultured Candidatus Saccharibacteria bacterium
Lineage: Bacteria; Candidatus Saccharimonadota
Description: partial 16S ribosomal RNA
Rfam family: Bacterial small subunit ribosomal RNA
Source: RNAcentral